CAAUAGCGUAUAUUAAAGUUGUUGCAGUUAAAAAGCUCGUAGUUGGAUUUGUGGCGUACGGUGUGUUCCGGGCACUUGUUGUCUGAGUAACCUGCUGUUGCCAUCCUUGGGUGGAACCUGUGUGGCAUUAGGUUGUCGUGCAGGGGAUGCCCAUCAUUUACUGUGAAAAAAUUAGAGUGUUCAAAGCAGGCUUAUGCCGUUGAAUAUAUUAGCAUGGAAUAAUGAGAUAGGACUUUUUUGCUAUUUUGUUGGUUUGCGCAAAGAGGUAAUGAUUAAUAGGGACAGUUGGGGUUAUUCGUAUUCCAUUGUCAGAGGUGAAAUUCUUGGAUUUUUGGAAGACGAACUACUGCGAAAGCAUUUACCAAGGAUGUUUUCAUUAA
RNAcentral lists this ribosomal RNA (380 nucleotides) under uncultured eukaryote. RNAcentral's name for it is "partial 18S ribosomal RNA". It matches the Rfam family "Eukaryotic small subunit ribosomal RNA", at positions 592 to 976 of the family's 1831-position model. The record is from RNAcentral.